AGUUUGAUCCUGGCUCAGAGUGAACGCUGGCGGCAGGCCUAAUACAUGCAAGUCGAACGGCAGCACAGCAGAGCUUGCUCUGUGGGUGGCGAGUGGCGGACGGGUGAGGAAUACGUGGGAAUCUGCCCAGUCGUGGGGGAUAACGUAGGGAAACUUACGCUAAUACCGCAUGCGCCCUUCGGGGGAAAGCCGGGGACCUUCGGGCCUGGCGCGAUUGGAUGAGCCCACGUCGGAUUAGCUAGUUGGCGGGGUAAAGGCCCACCAAGGCGACGAUCCGUAGCUGGUCUGAGAGGAUGAUCAGCCACACUGGAACUGAGACACGGUCCAGACUCCUACGGGAGGCAGCAGUAGGGAAUAUUGGACAAUGGGCGCAAGCCUGAUCCAGCCAUGCUGCGUGAGUGAAGAAGGCCCUCGGGUUGUAAAGCUCUUUUGUCCGGAAAGAAAAGCGCCGGGUUAAUACCCUGGUGUCCUGACGGUACCGGAAGAAUAAGCACCGGCUAACUUCGUG
This 508-nucleotide ribosomal RNA is filed under the name uncultured bacterium. Its description in RNAcentral is "bacterial SSU rRNA". It matches the Rfam family "Bacterial small subunit ribosomal RNA", at positions 10 to 507 of the family's 1533-position model. The record is from RNAcentral.